This 27-nucleotide non-coding RNA is filed under the name Homo sapiens (human). The record is from RNAcentral. Lineage: Eukaryota; Metazoa; Chordata; Mammalia; Primates; Hominidae.
UGAUAAGUCUAAAAAGAGCCAAUGGUC